AUUGAACGCUGGCGGCAGGCCUAACACAUGCAAGUCGAACGGUAACAGGAAGAAGCUUGCUUCUUUGCUGACGAGUGGCGGACGGGUGAGUAAUGUCUGGGAAACUGCCUGAUGGAGGGGGAUAACUACUGGAAACGGUAGCUAAUACCGCAUAACGUCGCAAGACCAAAGAGGGGGACCUUCGGGCCUGUUGCCAUCGGAUGUGCCCAGAUGGGAUUAGCUAGUAGGUGGGGUAACGGCUCACCUAGGCGACGAUCCCUAGCUGGUCUGAGAGGAUGACCAGCCACACUGGAACUGGGACACGGUCCAGACUCCUACGGGAGGCAGCAGUGGGGAAUAUUGCACAAUGGGCGCAAGCCUGAUGCAGCCAUGCCGCGUGUAUGAAGAAGGCCUUCGGGUUGUAAAGUACUUUCAGCGGGGAGGAAGGGAGUAAAGUUAAUACCUUUGCUCAUUGACGUUACCCGCAGAAGAAGCACCGGCUAACUCCGUG
Molecule: ribosomal RNA, 490 nt
Filed under: uncultured bacterium
Lineage: Bacteria
Description: partial 16S ribosomal RNA
Rfam family: Bacterial small subunit ribosomal RNA
Source: RNAcentral